RNAcentral lists this ribosomal RNA (253 nucleotides) under uncultured bacterium. RNAcentral's name for it is "partial 16S ribosomal RNA". It matches the Rfam family "Bacterial small subunit ribosomal RNA", at positions 524 to 776 of the family's 1533-position model. The record is from RNAcentral.
UACGUAGGGGGCAAGCGUUGUCCGGAAUCAUUGGGCGUAAAGAGCGUGUAUGCGGCCUUUUAAGUCCUGCGUGAAAUCCUGCGGCUCAACCGCAGACGGUCGUGGGAAACUGGAAGGCUAGAGUGCGGGAGAGGAGAGUGGAAUUCCCGGUGUAGCGGUGAAAUGCGCAGAUAUCGGGAAGAACACCCGUGGCGAAGGCGGCUCUCUGGAACGCAACUGACGCUGAGACGCGAAAGCGUGGGGAGCAAACAGG